AUGGGCCACGUUCCUCGGCCCCCGAGCAUGAUUUCCCUCCUCGAGAUCCAUGUCGCCAAGGAGGGUUGGCACGUCCGCAAGAAACAAAGGCGCCUCCAUGGGCUCCGCAAGCCUGAUGUAACCUCGCUGCUCCAUGCUGCAGCGCGACUUGAGCCGAAGGAGGUCAUCUUUGGCCUCCGCUUGGAAAUAAUAAAUCCCUAUAUUGUGGGUCUACCUUGCUUCCACCGCGCCACCUCGAUCACGAUGGAACUUCCCGUCGUCAUCUGUCGUGUGCCAGACGGUGUCGAGUUCACCGCACUCAAGACGUUGACUCUGUCGUCCUGCUACAUCAACAUCGUUGCCAUGCUCUCAUGUUGCCCGUGCUUGCGCACGCUCCACCUCAAGCGUGUUGGCAUACAUGAGCACGACCUAACAAUCCACUCUCCGUCACUUCAGGAGAUUGUAGUGGACAGGAAUUCAUGGAUAGACCAUGUAGACAUCGUUGCCCCCAUGCUUAAGAAAUUUACCAUGUCCUUUGCCACAAUGGAGGAGUCCAAAAUUUUCUUCUUGGCCCCAGUGGUGGAGAAGGUGUCAUGGAACUGGUUACCCAGAUGGCCCAUUGUGUUUGGUCUUUAG
This 615-nucleotide ribosomal RNA is filed under the name Triticum aestivum (bread wheat). RNAcentral describes it as "partial small subunit ribosomal RNA". Lineage: Eukaryota; Viridiplantae; Streptophyta; Magnoliopsida; Poales; Poaceae. The record is from RNAcentral.